RNAcentral lists this long non-coding RNA (1574 nucleotides) under Salmo salar (Atlantic salmon). Its description in RNAcentral is "lncRNA (ENSSSAG00000120308.1)". The record is from RNAcentral. Lineage: Eukaryota; Metazoa; Chordata; Actinopteri; Salmoniformes; Salmonidae.
UCAGGGGUCAGGGGUCAGGGGGGAGGGGGAGAACUCAGCAGCAGACUUGGUUCAUGCCUUAGUUUAUAUUUCUCACAUGAUAUCCUUAUGAAACAUACAUCAUUCUGAAAUACAAUAAAACUAGUGAAAUCAAGACAUGGACCCACAUCAGAAUAAUGUUAGUCAUUCUGUAUAGAAGAGAAACAUGCUGAUUCUGCUCUGAGGGAUUCUAGAACAUGCUGAUUCUGCUCUGAGGGAUUCUAGAACAACAUGAUGAUUCUGCUCUGAGGGAUUCUAGAACAACAUGAUGAUUCUGCUCUGAGGGAUUCUAGAACAACAGGAUGAUUCUGCUCUGAGGGAUUCUAGAACAACAUGAUGAUUCUGCUCUGAAGGAUUCUAGAACAACAUGAUGAUUCUGCUCUGAGGGAUUCUAGAACAACAUGAUGAUUCUGCUCUGAGGGAUUCUAGAACAACAUGAUGAUUCUGCUCUGAGGGAUUCUAGAACAACAUGAUGAUUCUGCUCUGAGGGAUUCUAGAACAACAUGAUGAUUCUGCUCUGAGGGAUUCUAGAACAACAUGAUGAUUCUGCUCUGAGGGGAUUCUAGAACAACAUGAUGAUUCUGCUCUGAGGGAUUCUAGAACAACAUGAUGAUUCUGCUCUGAGGGAUUCUAGAACAACAUGAUGAUUCUGCUCUGAGGGAUUCUAGAACAACAUGCUGAUUCUGCUCUGAGGGAUUCUAGAACAACAUGAUGAUUCUGCUCUGAGGGAUUCUAGAACAACAUGAUGAUUCUGCUCUGAGGGAUUCUAGAACAACAUGAUGAUUCUGCUCUGAGGGAUUCUAGAACAACAUGCUGAUUCUGCUCUGAGGGAUUCUAGAACAACAGGGAAUUCUGUUUCCUUCCUGUUGAUGUACUGUCAGAUGGAAACACUCUAACCCAACAUGUAGAUUCUACUCUGUGAAUGACGAGGUUUGUGGCACAGAUCAUUAUCAUGAAAUAACAGACAACAGUUCACAGUAAACACAGACUAUCAUUGUGCACAACCCUAUACAACCCUAUUACAUAGCAUCAGCAAGGUACAUAAAACACUGACACCAUCCCUUUAAGGCCGAUAGAUAGGUCAUCCCUUUAAGACCUACACACAGUUCACCCCGUAAAAGACAGACAAUAAAGGUCAACCCUGUAAGACCGACAGACAGGUCAUCCCUUUAAGACUGACGGGCAGGUCAUCCCUUUAAGACCGACAGACAGGUCAUCCCUUUAAGACUGACGGGCAGGUCAUCCCUUUAAGACCGACAGACAGGUCAUCCCUUUAAGACCGACAGACAGGUCAUCCCUUUAAGACCGACAGGCAGGUCAUCCCUUUAAGACCGACAGACAGGUCAUCCCUUUAAGACCGACGGGCAGGUCAUCCCUUUAAGACCGACAGACAGGUCAUCCCUUUAAGACCGACAGACAGGUCAUCCCUUUAAGACCGACAGACAGGUCAUCCCUUUAAGACCUCAAAUAUAUUUGAAAAACGAGUUAAAAAAUGAUUAUUUACAAAAAUACUUUGCUGUGUAAACUUUUCAUUUUCAUUCCAACCAAAGGUUAGA